CAAGCCAGCCCUCCUCCCAGUCAGACAGCACCCCAGAGCCCGCCAUCAUUCCGUCCAUCAUUUCGGACCAGGAAACCUCAGCUUCCAUGGAAACCGCCGAGCCCCGCACCCUCACAGAGGACCUCGUCGGAACGGCGCGGGCGUCUCCCCCACCCGACAGGUUCCCCAGGACGGCCACGUUCGCCGCUUCGGCCACCCACUGGGGGUGCGAGAGCCGCUGGCUCCCCACACUGCCCGAGCCGGGCCCUGCUGAGGCCUCCGCCUCAACUCCAGCCCUGAGGCCCGACUAGGCCUGACCCUCCUUCAGAGGCUCGUUACCUUGGGUGGGACUGGGGAUGGGACAGCGGGCAGGGGUCGGGGAAGCGAGCCGAGCGGCGGCAGGGACAGCUACAGCAGGGGAAAUUUCCACCACGACGAGAUUCGGUCGGAAAAGGAAAAAAUCCGCCGGCGAGGGGGGAGGGGAGAAAAGCCGGGCUCAGGCAGGAAGAAAAGACAAGGCGAGCGAGAUCCCGCGAGAUGUACAAACUCUCGCGAAAUGGCACCCCGAUCACGUGACCCACGCCGUCCUCUUGAACAAACUGCGGCUUCGGAAGGGGGAGUGGGUGUGGUCUAACGGGCAGGAAGUGGCGUGUCUGCGCUGCGCCAGGAGCAGAAGGCAGGUUCGUCUUACGUCAGUUCCGCCUCGUAGUGGGAACAGCGGCUGGAGCUCUCUUGUGGGGUGUUCCCGAUGAGAAGGAGAUUUGCGAAUGGGUUGGGAGAGAUGGCGCGUUCCUUGUGUCUCACGGGGAGGCAGAGACAGGCAGAUCUGAGACUGAGGCUGCAUAGCGAGACCCUGAAGUCAAGAGAAGGAAAGUUUUGUUGUGUAGAAAAUAAAUAUAGCCAAUAAAGAUAGAUUGAGCCAUAGAAUGGGAACGGUGACCAUUUCAGGUGCGUAGGCAUCACCCAUGGUAGCUAAAA
RNAcentral lists this long non-coding RNA (957 nucleotides) under Rattus norvegicus (Norway rat). RNAcentral's name for it is "long non-coding RNA NONRATT001863". The record is from RNAcentral. Lineage: Eukaryota; Metazoa; Chordata; Mammalia; Rodentia; Muridae.